CUCUUUGAACCUGGAAGAAGGAAGAGGAGGAGUUGCCUGGAGCAGCUUGAGAAACCAUCAUUUAAAUUACAAGCCUGGGAAUAUCUUUGGCUGUGAAGAAGAAGGACGUUUCCAUUCUUCUGCUGGACUGAUAGAACAGACCACCCUUGGAUAUUUCUCUUGGGACUUUGGACUUUGCCCACCAAAAGACUCUAUUUUGACAUGGACAAGAACUGAACAGAAUGAGAAAGCAUCAAUGAAAUAUAAUUUGUACUGACAGAGCAUACAGACGUUAAUGAGAUCAAAGAUGCCCUGAAGUAUUUGUCUAACUGUCUCUUUAACUGUUUUAUAACCUCAGUCAGUGGAAGAGACUGUUUGUAUCUACUUGGAUCAUGCAAUUUUUUUGCAUAUAAUAUAGGUGCUUAAUAAAUAUUUACUAUUUAAUUGAUUUUAAAAGUUA
RNAcentral lists this long non-coding RNA (439 nucleotides) under Monodelphis domestica (gray short-tailed opossum). Its description in RNAcentral is "lncRNA (ENSMODG00000031290.2)". The record is from RNAcentral. Lineage: Eukaryota; Metazoa; Chordata; Mammalia; Didelphimorphia; Didelphidae.